RNAcentral lists this unclassified non-coding RNA (374 nucleotides) under Hevea brasiliensis (rubber tree). Lineage: Eukaryota; Viridiplantae; Streptophyta; Magnoliopsida; Malpighiales; Euphorbiaceae. The record is from RNAcentral.
GUUAAGUUAAGCCAUGCAACAUUGCAUCUUUUGGCCAAAAGUUGGUCUCACUUUGGUCAUAUAAAAAUAAGGUCAAGAGGCCAUAUCCUUUGAAAAAUAAGAAAAUUGACAAAACAAAAGAGUGUUGGUUACUGUUAUUAUUCAGAAAACCAAAAAUAAGAGGACAGUGAGAUUGCGUUUGUUGGCUUAUUUUUCUCCUUUGGUAAAACUCUCAAUUCAACAAGUUUGUGGAGCAUUAACUUCUGAAAUUCUAAGGUACACAUCUAGACUCUGGAAACUUGAUGCAGUUCAAUGAAUAAAUGGGAUUGUGUUAUAGACCAGUGAAACAAAUGAUGGUUCUCAGGGUAUUUGCAUGAACAUGGUUCAGAAACCAU